CAAUAGCGUAUAUUAAAGUUGUUGCGGUUAAAAAGCUCGUAGUUGGAUUUCUGUUGGGAACGACCGGUCCGCCCAUUGGGUGUGUAUCUGGCUUGUUCUCGGCAUCUUCUUGGUGAACGUUGCUGCACUUGACUGUGUGGAGCGCUACCCAGGACUUUUACUUUGAGGAAAUUAGGGUGUUUCAAGCAGGCAUAUGCCUUGAAUACAUUAGCAUGGAAUAAUAAGAUAGGACCUCGGUUCUAUUUUGUUGGUUUCUAGAGCUGAGGUAAUGAUUAAUAGGGAUAGUUGGGGGCAUUCGUAUUUAACUGUCAGAGGUGAAAUUCUUGGAUUUGUUAAAGACUGACUACUGCGAAAGCAUUUGCCAAGGAUGUUUUCAUUGA
This 380-nucleotide ribosomal RNA is filed under the name uncultured eukaryote. Its description in RNAcentral is "partial 18S ribosomal RNA". It matches the Rfam family "Eukaryotic small subunit ribosomal RNA", at positions 592 to 976 of the family's 1831-position model. The record is from RNAcentral.